UAAGGGGCGGACCAUUAGAAAUCCCGGGAGGGGGGGGGUAUAAAAUUUUUGCGGCACGAAUUUUUUUUUCAGUCUCAUGUCUCUGCAGGAAUUUUUUUUUAAUGCAUUUAACCUCUGCACGAAUUUUUUUUCAAGACUAUUUGUACUUUGCUGUUUGCUUGCACGAAUUUUUUUUUCUCUGACGUAAUGGCUGCACGAAUUUUUUUUCCAGGCAUUUUUCUUUGUACGAAUUUUUUU
Molecule: non-coding RNA, 237 nt
Organism: Paramuricea clavata
Lineage: Eukaryota; Metazoa; Cnidaria; Anthozoa; Malacalcyonacea; Plexauridae
Source: the annotation of a GenBank genome assembly